This 719-nucleotide ribosomal RNA is filed under the name Duganella sp. RNAcentral's name for it is "bacterial SSU rRNA". It matches the Rfam family "Bacterial small subunit ribosomal RNA", at positions 67 to 782 of the family's 1533-position model. The record is from RNAcentral. Lineage: Bacteria; Pseudomonadati; Pseudomonadota; Betaproteobacteria; Burkholderiales; Oxalobacteraceae.
CGGCAGCACGGAGCUUGCUCUGGUGGCGAGUGGCGAACGGGUGAGUAAAUAUCGGAACGUACCCUGGAGUGGGGGAUAACGUAGCGAAAGUUACGCUAAUACCGCAUACGAUCCAAGGAUGAAAGCAGGGGACCGCAAGGCCUUGUGCUCCUGGAGCGGCCGAUAUCUGAUUAGCUAGUUGGUGGGGUAAAGGCCCACCAAGGCAUCGAUCAGUAGCUGGUCUGAGAGGACGACCAGCCACACUGGAACUGAGACACGGUCCAGACUCCUACGGGAGGCAGCAGUGGGGAAUUUUGGACAAUGGGCGCAAGCCUGAUCCAGCAAUGCCGCGUGAGUGAAGAAGGCCUUCGGGUUGUAAAGCUCUUUUGUCAGGGAAGAAAAGGCUGUGGCUAAUAUCUGCGGCUCAUGACGGUACCUGAAGAAUAAGCACCGGCUAACUACGUGCCAGCAGCCGCGGUAAUACGUAGGGUGCAAGCGUUAAUCGGAAUUACUGGGCGUAAAGCGUGCGCAGGCGGUUUUGUAAGUCUGUUGUGAAAUCCCCGGGCUCAACCUGGGAAUGGCAAUGGAGACUGCAAGGCUAGAGUUUGGCAGAGGGGGGUAGAAUUCCACGUGUAGCAGUGAAAUGCGUAGAUAUGUGGAGGAACACCGAUGGCGAAGGCAGCCCCCUGGGUCAAAACUGACGCUCAUGCACGAAAGCGUGGGGAGCAAACAGGAUUAGA